This 497-nucleotide ribosomal RNA is filed under the name uncultured bacterium. Its description in RNAcentral is "partial 16S ribosomal RNA". It matches the Rfam family "Bacterial small subunit ribosomal RNA", at positions 28 to 507 of the family's 1533-position model. The record is from RNAcentral.
GAUGAACGCUGGCGGCGUGCCUAAUACAUGCAAGUCGAGCGAACGGACGAGAAGCUUGCUUCUCUGAUGUUAGCGGCGGACGGGUGAGUAACACGUGGAUAACCUACCUAUAAGACUGGGAUAACUUCGGGAAACCGGAGCUAAUACCGGAUAAUAUUUUGAACCGCAUGGUUCAAAAGUGAAAGGCGGUCUUGCUGUCACUUAUAGAUGGAUCCGCGCUGCAUUAGCUAGUUGGUAAGGUAACGGCUUACCAAGGCAACGAUGCAUAGCCGACCUGAGAGGGUGAUCGGCCACACGGGAACUGAGACACGGUCCAGACUCCUACGGGAGGCAGCAGUAGGGAAUCUUCCGCAAUGGGCGAAAGCCUGACGGAGCAACGCCGCGUGAGUGAUGAAGGUCUUCGGAUCGUAAAACUCUGUUAUUAGGGAAGAACAUAUGUGUAAGUAACUGUGCACAUCUUGACGGUACCUAAUCAGAAAGCCACGGCUAACUACGUG